UCCUCUUCCCAAAAGUGGAGACACAAAGCACAAAUCCCAUGUGUCAGUAUUCCCACUCUGGGACUGUUCUUUUAUAGAGCCGUCACACCUUUCUCUGAUAUACUUGCAUGUAGGGUGACUACAGGGUUGACUAUCCUGCUAAUGGUGGUGCUGGGAUGGGAAGAGGGAAAGAAAGAACUGACUGGUAGAGUUAGCUCGUAGAUACCGGUGUAUCUUACCAAAGCAGUGAGGAGACCACACAGAGCUGCUGCGUGCCCUGUUUUUGCAACCUGAUGAUCUGGCAGAAGUUUGUGUUUGAAAAUUCCUUUCUGCCACUGUUCCAUGUUCCUUUCCUUUGCCUCUCUGGGUGGUGGUUUUUCACCUGCGGAGUUAACCCAGCCCUCAUUCCUGAAAGGUCUUUCCCAUUAGAAAUCUUUCUUGUUUUGGGUAGCUGUAGGUUUCCAUUGACUUGUCCCUGGACUUAGGAAUACUAAGAGGUUCCCUAGAGAAUCCCGUAAAUUCCAGACCCUCCUCCCAGCCCCCCAAUCUGUGGUGGGAGCUAUAUUUCCCCAAGACAAUUGAGAACAGUCCCCUCGCCAUAGCAGUAAACUCUUCUGGCUCAUUGGCACAAGGCAUCCAGUGCGACUGGGUGGCAGCCUCUGCCUGCAGGGCAGUGGGCACCUCGUGUCCGUCUGUGGAAGCAUCUGUGGAAUGAAGACACCCAAACCAGCAGAGUCCAGAAUUGUGAGCAGAGAAUCCAAAACCUUGCUAGUUGUGCGGGGGCAUAAUGAGAGGAGCCAUUCCCGUUCCACGUGUGCCUCCACCCGUGUUUUCCAGCCAUGGGAGAACCCAUACCACUUGUUGACUGAUGGCUCGGAGUACAGGGCACAUCUUGGGCAACCCAGCAGCCUUCAAGGGGGGCCUUGUCACAGCCAGCACUGCCUGGUGCUUGGGAGGCUCCCCGAGGUAGUGGGGUGUGCGCCGGGAUCACGAUUGUCACAGGCCUCACUGCUGAGCUCUGCUGUCAGACAGGUCUCCUGGAAGCAGUACUGGAAGCAACUCGUGCAGCAGAUGAGGCUUCUGUGAGCCAGGUGCAGUGGCCAAGAGGCGUCUCUGUCCCUCCCAGAACACAUGGCCCGAUGUACUUGGGGGCUGGCUCUUCUUUCCAGUUGAGUUUUUCAUACUAGGAAUUGUGUUGGUGUCUCCCAUUAGCAGAUUUAUACAUUUAGCAGUGGACCUUAGCCAGACUAGCCUUGGAGUGAGGACGUCCAUGUGGUUGAAGCCAUUG
Molecule: long non-coding RNA, 1267 nt
Filed under: Macaca fascicularis (crab-eating macaque)
Lineage: Eukaryota; Metazoa; Chordata; Mammalia; Primates; Cercopithecidae
Description: lncRNA (ENSMFAG00000056001.1)
Source: RNAcentral